AAGACGCUAAAGCAUCCAGAGGUCAAGUGACUUGCUCCAGGUCACACACAGUGAAUUGGGAAUAAAACAGGUCUCAGCCACCUACUUCUCUGCUCGAACAGUUAACUAGGGCUCCUUCCGGUCAACAGCCUGGACUCCGGAAGGCAGAUAGCCAGAAUUCGCCGCUUCCCACCUUUCCCCGAGACUUCCAGCAGUAAUAGACAGUAAUAGCCUAAGACAAAUCAGCCCAUUCCUGUAAAAAUAGAAACACAAAAUCCUGAAGUCCCACGAAAGCCAUAAAGAAGUUCCCCACCCCACACUUUGUGGUGCUGCGAAAGGAUGUAACGCAAUACAGGACAUUACCACACUCCUUUCUUCUUUGGAGGAUUCUCCCCUCAAGACUUCAGUGCCACAGAGGGAAGGAGCUGUGCAGAGACCAUCCAGUUCACUGACUACUCCAUGGAACUCAAGAACAAUGUUCAUUAGAAAGGAUAAAGGGAAGCAAUCUGUAGCCUCCUCUCUCCCCCACCCCCUGCAGUUUCUCAUCUCAACAGGCAUACAGGGCUGCCUUGUCAGAAUACACUGAAAAACAACUGGCUAUUCACGCAUAGAAAGGUGUUCCUUAAAAGCGUCCCAUCAAUGUACUGGCCCUGUGCUGGAAUGUGAGAUUUGAUGGGAUCAAAUACAGAGAAAUUUUGUUUCAAGGAAGCAAGCAUCUUGUGCAAAGCUUUCAAAAUGUAAGAGUCCUGGAUGAACUACAAGCAAUCUAGGUAAGAAGAGUUGGAUAAGAAUAUCUCUGAAGUUUAUUAAUUAAACUCAUAACUGGCCAGAAAGUUUGGAGUCUGGGCCAACCCCACCCCAAAGGCUGAGAGUGUUGACAAGAUAGAAUUUCUAGUCUCUGAUGGCCUGAGAAGCAAGAUGCCAAGUCUUCUGCAUAGCAGUGAGUGGCAUACAGAUGCUGGGCCAGCCCAACUUUGCAACUUUAAUAUUCAUAAAGUGGAGCUGUUCUAGCUAAUGAUUUGAUCAUAUUAGAUGUUUUGGAACAAAGUUUUAAAAUUUUCAUACACCGAUCAAGUAACUGCAUGUCGAACUGAUCUUUAUUUGUAGACAAAAAUGACAAGUUUUGCCCAUUGCAUUUUGUAGAUACAAGUUUAGAGACCAGUUUUGAAAAUUUUGCCCUGUACUAGGACUGGGUGAAUAAUAUGCAAUCUGGUAAAUUCUGUUUAUUUCAGUUGUAUGAAAUAUUUAAAACCUUUAAUUGUUACUUGCUUAAAUUUAGAUUUAAUCAACAGAUUGUAAGGAAUAAAUCUCUCAAAGAGCUCUUUGAAGAGUUUCUGAAGCUAUUUUACAAAAUCAAAAUUUCUGCUAUUUAAUAUGUUUUCAGAAUACCACAGGUGACUGUACAUGACUUACCAGAUGUUUCUUCUUUUUAAAGAUUCAAGUUACGUCUGAGUUAUAAAUACUUUUUAAAAAAACCACAGCCAACUCAAGUUUUGGGUGAAAUAUGGCUAGAUAGUAGUUCCUUAUACGAUAAAUUUAACAGAGUAAAUGCUCAUGGUUGAAUUAUAAUUUUCUUAAGAUCAGAGAUGUAUAACAGAACUAAGAUCAUGUUCUUAACAGUGUAUAUGAGAGAGUUGUUAACCAGUGAGUAGGCAUCUUUUAACACUCCCCCGUCCAUUAAUCCUCCAAAAGUAUUUAAUUUCUUCCCAAUAACAAAAAUAUUUUCAACAUCGUGGUCCACUUGAGCAAAUGUUAAUCUUCCCCAUAGUUCAGCAUAUGUUGUAGAUGCUCUGCACAUCACUACUGGUGCCUGAGAUUAUUAAUAUUGCUUUUCCAAUCAGUAAAGUUAGUAACAGUAAACCCUUGGCAUUAGUAGGAAUAAAGCUAAAUGUACAUUUCAAUAAUUAAUUUUGUGGCUAUAAACAGCUAUAUUGUAUUCCCACUGACAAUAACAGGGAAGCCCUAGGCUACCCAGCAAUCACACUUUCCUCUUGUAUCUAUACAAUGAAAAGCAUUCCCACCUGAGAACUCCAUCUUGGGUUCCCUUGUGAAACAGAGCUAGAUGAGAAAGAUGUGUUCUGCUGUAUAUUUCUCUGAUCAAGCCCUUGCUUUUACUUGGACCAAAUGAUGAAAAACACAAUCCAGCUUCUUUUCUCCCCAGCAGUAUUUAAUUACCUCUAAGGCCUGUAGUAAAAGCUUUGGCUCAUUGACUAAUUGAGAACACUUGCCCUAGUCUGCAGUUAGUAAGAAUAUCCCCUUUUAAAAUAUGUCCUUAUACUCUUCCAUGGAAAGGUGGGUUUACUCUUAAUCAGCCAAGAGCUCAGGAACUGCACAAAUUAAAGUAUAUGCAGGUUAUCUUCUUGCUUUAGGGGAUAUUCACCACUGUCUGUGUUCUUGUGGAGUAAUAAUAAGAUACCAUAACCAAACAGUAGAAGAUGCAUGUCAGAUGGUUUUCCAAUAACAUUAGAGGAGAAAAAAGCAACUGAUGUAUGGGAUAUUGAAGGCAGAUUAAGUUGUUAAUGUAUAUUAGUAUAUUCUUAAUUUCCUUUUAAUUGAAAAAGACAUAUUGACUUUAAUUAGAACCAUUUCACAGGAACUGUCAAUUAGCACAUGUCAAAGUAGUUAAUUCAGAACAGAAUUGUUUUAAUUAGGGUCUGCUUUCCUUUAACUGUGGGGCCAACGAAAUCAGCCUUUCCUUAUCAAGGUUUUAAAUGUCUCUAAGACAUACAAUACAAGUGUAGUCUCUUAUCUAUUAUUAGAAGCCCAUAUGGAUAACAUUAAAAUGAUGAUGCUGGCAUUGUUCAUGAAGCACAAAUCACAGUUUCUUUUAUUACUGUUUGAAAAAAAAGAUGGCUUUGAACAAAGACCAUUUUAAAUACACAGAUUUAUCCUACUUUUAAGAGACUACAAAAUGUAUGACAUACAUGUUCUCAUGUAAAGUAUUAUUUAAUAUGUCUGCUCAAAUAAAUGGGUCUAGUCAAAUGUUUUGUGUGUUCUAUCAGCCAAAGACACAUAAAACAUUGUCAAAGCAUGCGGUAACAUUUUCCCCUUAAAUGAAUUAUAAUCAAAAAGAGAAAACCGUCUCAGUGAUUAUUUUGGACAAUAUAAAACCAGCAUUGUUAACUUUCAUUGUAUGCAGAGAUGUAACACCAAUUGCUAAUACAGUGGCUGAAAACACUAGUGAGCUAAUGUGUUCUCAGUAAUCAGACAGUCUGAGUCUUGACUUUCACAGUAUAGUUUCUAAAUAUGCCUGAGGUGACUGAUGUACCUUGAUUCCUAGCUGGCACAAGUAAGGCCCUCCAUCUUUGUCUACCAGCAGGUGCUGUGAACUGUAGUAUUGGUAUACCAUCAAGUAAAAGAACAGCAGAGGAAAAUAUAGCAAAAAUGUAAAAAGUAUUAAUGUGAAAUCUAGACUUCGCAUUAUCAUAUGAGGGUUAGCCACUGUUUUACUGACCUACAUCAAUUGAGGAUUACAGAGAUUAGUGGAAGGAAUACUUAAUAGCUGAACUGUGGAUUCCAAAGAGGAUUAUCUGGUAAGAUAUUUUAUGUAUCCUGAUGCUUUAUUGAACUUAUUAAGGGCCUGAUUAACUCAACAAUAACAGUAACAUCAUUUUCCAAAAUGGAGUAUGAUAUGAGUAUACUAAAAUUAAAAGUAUACCAGAAGUAUAUUUCAUCUAGUAUGUUAAUCAUACUGUGUUCUUGUACUGGAACUAUUUUGGUAUAUGAACUGUAAUACAAAUUGCAGGAAGCCUUGUGAUUAAAAACACUUAUGUAAGAUUUUUACAAAUCCUGGAGAAGUAGGUGAACUUUCACUUGACAACCUCUUGAAUUGAAUAACUGGAAUUCUACUGAAGCCUGGGUUUUCUGGAAAUCACUACAGACAUCAAAAAAAGCCUCUUCAAACACUGUAGUUUACUGCUUACCAUUCUACAGGAGGUGUAGUUUGAGCACAACUUAACAAUUGUAUCAUUACUUUUUAUGUUACCUAUUUACAAUUAUAUGUUAGAAUAAGACCCUUAUAUUCAUUCAUUAAUCCUAUUGUGGCCCAUUUUAAAUCUCUACUUAUCAGUUUAAAUACUUACCAUAAUUUAGAAUUCUUCUUUAAGCAGAUCUAAGGCACAUUGGCACUGAAAUGCAUAAUCCAUCCUCUUUUAUACCACAGCAGAAACAAUGCUUUGGAUUCUGAACAUAUAAAUUUGCUUGCUCUAUAUUAUGUAUUUCAAAAAUUAACAAUAGCCAUAUUUGUAUCACCCAUGUUUUAAUAUCACUCUAAUACCUGUUGUGGAUAUGAAGUUUUGGCAUACUUACAAUAUAGCUAUGCGGUAUAAAGCAAUUGUCAUUGCCAUUACCAUAUUCAGAUCAUUAUGACUGUAGGAAACUAUAUUUUAUAGUCUGGACAAAUUAGGCUUAAAAACUAAUCAGUCACCACAACACCCUUAAGAGGUAAGCAGUAACAUAUUCUUAUCCCUAUUUUAGAGAUGGGACAACUGAGAGAGUUAAAGAGAGAAAUGACCUACCCAAGUCACAAAACAAGUCAAUCCAGGAUCAGAACUCAAGAGCUUUUGGCUCUCAGCUCCACACGCAUUACUUUGGAUCAUGCCAUCUUGCUGCCAAUAUACUAAUAACAAUUUACUGCACAUCUCAAUACAGUGCACUACGUUCUGUGUACUUAAGCAGGACAAUGCAUUUUUCCCCUCAUUAAUACUAAGUCUAUUUGUUGCUCAGCAGGAUUAAUAUUUAUACAUUCUGCAUCGUGUGAUGAAGUAGCAAGCUCUGAUUUCAGUUAAAUCUCACAGGUUCUCAUAGCAAAAUGUCAUUAUAGAACUUCAAAAGCAUUUGCUCCAUAGCAAGAUCUUUACAAUUAUCUAUAUAAUAUCUUUCAGCUCCUGUUGGCUCCUUGAUUUUCUGUGGAAAUCUCAACUCCUCUGCCAGUUUUGGAUUAUGAAAAGUUGACCCUUAAGGCAUAACUAUUUUAAAAAAGAUAUGCCCAAACGUUACAAGAUAUAGUAGAUUUCACCCAGUUUGAUAUCUUUUCUGGAACACACACUUAAUAAAAAUUGCAUUUUUACUAAGUAAUUGGCCAUAUGAAUCAUGCGCUAUUCAUGUAUUGUUCAUGAAUCAAACCAAGAGCCAUUUAAAAAUGACUAGCAUCAGGGCAACUUAAUAGGUUUUCAACAGAUUAUUUAAAUGACUGUAGCUAUGAUUUCCAAUAAUUUUUAUCCAAAUAGCAAGGCUUUAGUAAGCUGUUGCAGGACUCUCUCCGAAAAGAGUAACUUUCUGAUUAAAACCUUUUUGUUACUGGAUUUAAGAAAUUAAAGAAAAAAGGGGAACUUCUGAGUUAUGUAUGCAUCUGUCAAAUGCUGGAUCUUUAUAGUGUAACAAUUUGACCAAUCACAGGUAAAAGCACUGGUGGUUUGAAGGGAUAUUUCACUUUAUGAAUCAUAGCUAAUAAUGUAGUUAAGUACUUUCUGAACAGGCACUUCCUGAAGACUGACCAACCUGUAGAUUGUGUUCCUAGUAGUUUCCGGUGCAAUCGUUUGGCAUGAACGAUGCAUUGGGAGAGUGAUAUGCCAGUACUCCAGCAGCAAUUUAUCUGGGAUUUCUUAUUACAGAUUAGCACCAUUUCUAAUUCCUUGAUUGGUUGAUUGACUGUACUAUAAAGCCAGAUGUAUUUCACAGCAUCAUCUAUAUUCACCUGUUUCUUUUCUUGUUGUUGUGGCUUGCAUCCUUGACCUGAUUUUGCCAAUGGCUACCUGGUCUCUCAACACACUGUUGCUUUUCAGGAAUAUUUUCUAAUGACAACUAUAGUUAUUGUUUAUAUUUAUACUGUAAAAUUACACUUAACUAUUUACAAUUUCAAAAAGCUGCACAACAUUCAUUAAUUUGCCAAAUAAAAUCACUAUGGGGUAGACAAAUAGGAUCAUUAUCCCCACGUUAUAGAUGAGGAAAUUGAGGCUGAAAGAUUAAAUGUCUUGCCCAGUGUCACAUGGCAAGUCUAGUGGCAGAAGGGGGGUUAAACUAAAAGUUAUCCAUUCUGGGUGCAUUCCUCUAGACCAGGGUCUCUCAUAUUUGUUUAAUAGUGUAGACCACAUCUUAAAGAGGGAUUCACUUGUGGACUCCUUCCUUCUCACUCAGAAUCCCAUGUGAUCUCAACUACAGAAAUUGUUUACAUAGAAAAGUAAUAUUAGGAAAGUGCCAGCCUCAUGUGACCAGCCAGCAACUCCCUGGUCACCAGCAAGUACUCUGUAGACCACCAGCAGUUCACUGAUCACAGUCUGAGAAUCACUACUUUAGCACUAUAUUUUCAGGUUUAUUCCUCUAGGUCAAAUUGCCUCAUGGUACAGCAAUGUUAACUAAUCCUUUAUUAAACAAUUCUUCAAGCACAAAUAAAGCAUUUGGGUUGUUAACAUACAUAAGUUAUAUUAAAGAAGGUUUCAGAUCGGCACAUUGUAUUUUGUAGCAAAGUCAUAAAAUAUGCUAACAUGAUAACAUCUAAUGAGGGAAAUGUUGCAUGCAGAUGUCUGUUUGCCUAUUAUCCCAUAAAAUGACUGUAUAUUUUUAUUUAUAUGAGUAACAUCAGACACAAAUGUGUUACCAUAAAUGCAUUCAUUUAGGAAAAUGUAUAAACACAAUAUGAAUCUAAUAUAUAUGUAAAACUGUUUUAAAACCUGAUAUUUAAUGUUUAUAAAAAGAAUAAAGAUGAAAAAAAUGUCCAUAAUUA
Chelonia mydas (Green sea turtle) is the source of this 6700-nucleotide long non-coding RNA. RefSeq lists it as uncharacterized. The transcript is spliced from 7 exons. The record is from RefSeq and is a predicted model, not a curated record. NCBI's taxonomy places the organism in Eukaryota, Metazoa, Chordata, Testudines, Cheloniidae.